CCAUGUGACCAGCUUACGCAACCAGGCCAAGGCUUUAUAUGCUGCCUAUAGAAACCGGACGCCCUCGGGGGGGAUCAUCACAGUGCAGGCGUGUGUCGGUGUAUCUGAGCAAAGACUGUUGUUGGACACAGGGGAGAACUGUUGCUGCUGCUGCUGCCACAUUCAGAGAAGACCGACGCCAAAGAGACACACAGGGCAAAGAAGCGAAGGGAUUAGCGGUGAUAAAGUCGCCUAGCAGGAAGCCCUGAGGACAAGUUUCAGAGGGGUUCGUAGUCUCAGCUGUGAAGCACUGGAAAGAGCAUCAACAAUGUUUUUUCGCAUCCCUCGACUGACCCCCGGAUAUAUUAGAUACCUGCAGACUCAGGCAGCCCAGACUGUGCUGCAGAGCCGGGAGGGCCCUGCCAUGCCGCGUAUGGCCAUGCUGCUGGGACUCAUGGGCAUCGGCUUGUCCGGCUACAGCUCCCGUCAACUCACUCUGCACUGCAAGCCAUCGGCUCACCUCUUAAGAUAAGACGGAUGGACCACAGGCACAUUUUUCUGCUCAAGUUUUUCGUGUUUUUUGGGUAAUAAGCUCAUCAUGACAGUUGUUUCUUGCCUCUUACCAGUUGCCAGGCAACCAGCGAAGUCUCGUGGACAGUUAGUGUCCAUCACAUAGUAAAAUGAAACUACUCAUGGAAAAAUAGUGAUGUGAAGUGAUGCUACCAGAUUCUAUGCUUCUGUUUAGUUUUUUCUUUGUGCAUCUCUGACAAUAAUUCCUUCCAUGUGGUUCAAGUUUAACACCAUCCAUGUUCUUGAUUAUUUAUCAUUUAUUGUGUUUCUUUUGACAAGAUUGUUGCCUUAAGGCUCUGCUAGUGCAGUAAAGAGUAAAAAAAAACCCUCCUUUUUCAAAACUACCUCUUCAUUUAAGCACUGUGCUUAAAUGUUUGUGAUUGAUGUGCAGUGAAGCAGAAAGGCAGCUUAUGAUGUUUCUACUGGUUGAUGCUGCACUUGAACCACGAUCCUUCUUAUCAUGGGAGUAUUCAGCGAGAAUGGGCCUCAAAAUUGCACUUAAAAAACUAUUUAAAAAUAUUUUUUCAGAUACACCAGCCGUCUGUAAAGACAAUAAACACAGAAAUCUCAUCCGAAAUCCUCAAUUUUUCAAUCACUGUUGCUUUUUCUCUGGUACUUUGGUGACUAUUGUGAGGAAAUCAGGGCUUUUUUGGGGGGAAACUGUGAGAGAUGGUCACAUCAGAAGCAUCUUCAACUCAGAGAAUCGGUGGAAACAAAGUUUUAAUUCUUGAUUCUGGAGUUGACAGCAUCAGAGUUUCUGAUAUCUCUCAACAAAAUUCCAGAGAAGCUAGAAAAAUCUGCUGGGCUGCUCUCACCUCCUUAGAAAUGCACAAAGAAAAGCACUCUUCAAACAGAAACAUACGAAAAGUGUAACCUCUGAGGUGUGGAAAAUGCUAUUUUGCACUUUUUUGUGUGUACAUAACUUGUAUAUAGUCAUGUACAUAUGGUUUGGAUGCUGAAUGAGAUUAGUAGUGCGUGACGUGGAGUGCUACCAGCUUGUGUUGUGAGCUGGACUGUUGUCAGGCAGAGCGACCAGGUCGGCCAUCCUGGUCGCCACCUGAACCAACGUGUGGAUCCACUCGGGUCUCUCCCAGUUGCACACCACCGUCAGACCAGAUGAACGUAGAUGAAUGACCGCAGAGGUCUCUUAACAUAGGUAGACUUUUCUGAUGUAUUGUGCACAAUUCUUUUGAAAGGAAAAAGGAACUUUGACAGCAUAUGAAUGUAUUUAAAGCAGUUAAACUGUAAUUGUUAGGAUGAUUGUGUCGUAACCUCCGGGACGGCUUGUGAACAGGUCAAGAUACAGCGAUCCUUAAAAAAAAAAAAAAAUCCUCUUACAAUGCACGUCUUUUUUAGAGCAGAUUAUGCUUACAUGCGAGAGAGGUCAGCGACCCUGAAAUGGAGACGUGGAAGAGGUGACAGAAAAAGAAGUGUGGUUAUUUAUGUCCUUGAACCUCUUGACUGGGAUUGUAACUGAACAAAGGAUUUCACUGGGAGUAGGAUAUUGAUAAUUGUACAUAAUAUUGUGUUGUUGUCAUUCAUUGUUGCUGCAAUUUCACUUUUUUAGCUCAUUUGUUUAUUAUUAGAACUCUUUGUGGAAUAAAGGCAUGAAAUGUCUUGAAUAUUGUCUGAGUUUCUAAUAAGUAAAUAAAAUGUGUUUGCCCGCUUUGUGUUCAAAUUAAUGUAUGUUUUCGGGCAUUUAUUUGUGCUAUGACUUCAUAUAGUUUGUGUAGUCAAAUUCAACUGUGAUCACUUUAUUCUGUAGGUUUCAAUAUGCGCAAUAAAGCAGAUUGUAACAUACGUUGUUUUCUGA
Long non-coding RNA from Amphiprion ocellaris (clown anemonefish), 2362 nucleotides. RefSeq lists it as uncharacterized. Lineage: Eukaryota; Metazoa; Chordata; Actinopteri; Pomacentridae. The transcript is spliced from 2 exons. The record is from RefSeq and is a predicted model, not a curated record.